This 425-nucleotide ribosomal RNA is filed under the name uncultured bacterium. RNAcentral's name for it is "partial 16S ribosomal RNA". It matches the Rfam family "Bacterial small subunit ribosomal RNA", at positions 354 to 796 of the family's 1533-position model. The record is from RNAcentral.
GUGGGGAAUCUUGCGCAAUGGGCGAAAGCCUGACGCAGCCAUGCCGCGUGAAUGAUGAAGGUCUUAGGAUUGUAAAAUUCUUUCACCGGGGACGAUAAUGACGGUACCCGGAGAAGAAGCUCCGGCUAACUUCGUGCCAGCAGCCGCGGUAAUACGAAGGGGGCUAGCGUUGCUCGGAAUUACUGGGCGUAAAGGGCGCGUAGGCGGACAGCUUAGUCAGAGGUGAAAGCACAGGGCUCAACCUUGGAAUUGCCUUUGAUACUGACUGUCUUGAGUUUGGGAGAGGUGAGUGGAACUCCGAGUGUAGAGGUGAAAUUCGUAGAUAUUCGGAAGAACACCAGUGGCGAAGGCGACUCACUGGCCCAAUACUGACGCUGAGGCGCGAAAGCGUGGGGAGCAAACAGGAUUAGAAACCCCAGUAGUCC